UGAUUGGAGAAAGAAGAGCUAUCCACGGGU
This 30-nucleotide non-coding RNA is filed under the name Rattus norvegicus (Norway rat). The record is from RNAcentral. Lineage: Eukaryota; Metazoa; Chordata; Mammalia; Rodentia; Muridae.